RNAcentral lists this transfer RNA (77 nucleotides) under Actinomycetota bacterium. RNAcentral describes it as "tRNA-Asp". It matches the Rfam family "tRNA". From Rfam's summary of the family: Transfer RNA (tRNA) molecules are approximately 80 nucleotides in length. The record is from RNAcentral. Lineage: Bacteria; Bacillati; Actinomycetota.
GCGUCGGUAGCAUAGCGGCCUAAUGCGCCCGCCUGUCACGCGGGAGAUCGCCGGUUCAAAUCCGGUCCGAUGCGCCA